RNAcentral lists this ribosomal RNA (559 nucleotides) under Odontura glabricauda. Its description in RNAcentral is "SSU rRNA". It matches the Rfam family "Eukaryotic small subunit ribosomal RNA", at positions 720 to 1163 of the family's 1831-position model. Lineage: Eukaryota; Metazoa; Arthropoda; Insecta; Orthoptera; Tettigoniidae. The record is from RNAcentral.
AUGAUUCGUGGGACGUCCUGCCGGUGGUGGCGAGUCGAAAGCGUGCUCCCGGUGUGGCUUGUCCACGUCGGUUCUUGCGCACCUAAGCGGACCCCGAUGAAAUCCUACCGCGGUGCUCUUCGCCGAGUGUCGAGGUGGGCCGGCACGUUUACUUUUAAUAUUUUUAAGUGCUUACCGAGGCCUGUUGCGCCUGAAUACUGUGUGCAUGGAAUAAUGGAAUAGGACCUCGGUUCUAUUUUGUUGGUUUUCGGAACCCGAGGUAAUGAUUAAUAGGGACAGGCGGGGGCAUUCGUAUUGCGACGUUAGAGGUGAAAUUCUUGGAUCGUCGCAAGACGGACCGAAGCGAAAGCAUUUGCCAAGUAUGUUUUCAUUAAUCAAGAACGAAAGUUAGAGGUUCGAAGGCGAUCAGAUACCGCCCUAGUUCUAACCAUAAACGAUGCCAGCUAGCGAUCCGCCGAAGUUCCUCCGAUGGCUCGGCGGGCAGCUCCCGGGAAACCAAAGCUUUUGGGUUCCGGGGGAAGUAUGGUUGCAAGCUGAACUUAAAGGAAUUGACGGAAGG